Molecule: long non-coding RNA, 731 nt
Filed under: Brassica rapa (field mustard)
Lineage: Eukaryota; Viridiplantae; Streptophyta; Magnoliopsida; Brassicales; Brassicaceae
Description: long non-coding RNA (BRAP_LNC008081)
Source: RNAcentral
GCAGACUCCCGAAUGGCACCUAUAUCACGUAGUCAACAAGUAGACGUAAGUUUUCCGAGCCUUUCAAAGUUGUCUAGAUUUAGACUUCUGAGACUGUAGUUGAAUAGCAUAAAUUAAGAAACACAUAUAUCAGAUUCAUCAUACCGAGUGUGAGCAGAAUCGUAUGACAAGUAGACGUAAGUCAGUGUUCCGAGCCGUUCAAUCAAGGAAGAAAGAGCAACAAAUUGUAUCUGUUUUUUUACAGGAUUAAAACAGAGGUUAAGCAAAUAAUCCUUAUAAGACUUAAACUACAAAGCUAAUAAAACCAGAGAGAAAAAUAAUAGAUAAGAAGAUAGAAGGAGUCAACUUACUUAAGGGAGUUAAACAGAAGAUUUAGAGAGAGAUUAAGACAGGAAAUCUAACGUCUCUGUUGUGCUGCUGUGAUAUGCUCUGUUUCAUAAAAAAGGGUUCGUUAAGUUUUCUGGUUUGAGACAAAAAGUGGAGACGGAGAUAAGAAGUUUUUUUGCUUAAAGAUUUGGAAGAAGGUACGUGUCUAGUUUAUUUGUUUUCUUAUUCUUUUUUUUUUUUGCUGACGAUCUUGGACGUAUCUUAACUUGAGUUAAAAGAAAAAAAAAGAAGAGAUAAAGAUGUUAUGUAUAUAGUAUAUUUAAUUUAUAAUUAUCUUCCAAAAAAUAUGUAAAUAAUUUUUUUUUGUCUAAUUUUUUUUUUGAAUAGGAAUAAGUAAAUUAUAC